AUGCCAACUAAUUUCUUCGUAGCAGGUGAGUAUGAUCGCAGCAGCUACGGAAGGUCAGGCACAGGCAGUGACGAAGGCGAGUACAACAAGACCAGCAAGGAAGACUAUGGCCGCAGCAGCGAUGAAUACAGCCAUGGUACCGGCGGUUUCAACAAAUCCAGCAACGACAACAAUGAUGGUGGGUACAAGAACACCGACACGGACGACUACAGUAGCAGUGGCGGCUACAACAAGUCCAGCACUGACAAUUUCACUGGCGGCUUGAACAAAUCUAGCACUGAUGACUACACUGGCGGUGGCAGCUACAACAAAACUGGUGCCGACGACUACACUGCCGGUGGCGACUACAAGAAGUACAGCACCGAAGAUUUUAGUGGCGGCCACAACAAGUCUAGCACAGACGACUAUGAUGGUGGCUACAAGAACUCCAGUGCUGAUGCCGUCUAUGGCGAAGGCGGUUACAAGAAACCAAGCACCGAGGACUCCUCCGCGUACAACAAAUCAAGCAUCGAGGAGGACUACAGCAGCGGCAAGAACACCCCCAACACUGAUGACUACGACGGCAGUGGCUACAACAAGUCCAGCACUGAUGACGACUACGAUGGCUACAAGAAGGCCGGCGCCGACGAGUACAGUGGUGGCUACAGCAAGUCCGGCGCCGAUGGGUAUGCCACUCGAGCAGGCAAGACCGGCUCUGAUGAUUACUAG
Molecule: ribosomal RNA, 708 nt
Filed under: Triticum aestivum (bread wheat)
Lineage: Eukaryota; Viridiplantae; Streptophyta; Magnoliopsida; Poales; Poaceae
Description: partial small subunit ribosomal RNA
Source: RNAcentral